Molecule: long non-coding RNA, 252 nt
Organism: Carassius gibelio (silver crucian carp)
Lineage: Eukaryota; Metazoa; Chordata; Actinopteri; Cypriniformes; Cyprinidae
Exons: 2
Source: RefSeq, a predicted model, not a curated record
GAGAGAGAGAGAGAGAGAGAGAGAGAGUGAGAGGGGGUCCAGCAAUGCAUUCAGUCCGUUUCGAGGUACAGCCAGGGCUCAGGAGAGUCACCGGUCAACCAUGAGGGACCCCUGGAGCUGAUUGGUCCUCAGUGGGCAACCUUCUGAACUAUGACAACUGCAAGCAAACUGACUGAAGCCCAAAUGAUUGCAGUAAAUGUAUGAUUUUAAAGACAAAUCUAGAAUUCAAAAAAAUGAAAAUGUAUGCAUAGA